GCCUGGCAUGGUGGCACAUGCCUGUAAUCCCAGUGACUCAGAGGCUGAGGCAGGAUGAUUGCAAGUUCAAGGAAGGUCAGCUUCAACACUUUAGGGAGGUCCUACGCAACUUAACAAGACCCUGUCUCAA
RNAcentral lists this small RNA (130 nucleotides) under Marmota monax (woodchuck). The record is from RNAcentral. Lineage: Eukaryota; Metazoa; Chordata; Mammalia; Rodentia; Sciuridae.